RNAcentral lists this ribosomal RNA (224 nucleotides) under uncultured bacterium. RNAcentral's name for it is "partial 16S ribosomal RNA". It matches the Rfam family "Bacterial small subunit ribosomal RNA", at positions 109 to 334 of the family's 1533-position model. The record is from RNAcentral.
CGGAACACGUACAGAACCUUCCUUCGAGCGGGGAAUAGCCCGAAGAAAUUCGGAUUAAUACCCCAUAGUAUUAUGAAGUGGCAUCACUUUAUAAUUAAAGAUUUAUCACUUGAAGAUGGCUGUGCGCCUGAUUAGGUAGUUGGCGGAGUAAUAGCCCACCAAGCCUUCGAUCAGUAACUGGUGUGAGAGCACGACCAGUCACACGGGCACUGAGACACGGCCCG